CAGUUCCACCAGUACCAGGUGGUCGGGAGGGGCCUGCCGACGCCGACCGAGGAGCAUCCCAGGAUCUACCGCAUGAAGCUCUGGGCCACCAACGAGGUCCGCGCCAAAUCCAAUUUCUGGAUUCAAAUUUGGAAGCCUCUCGAGGUGAAGAAGAGCAACGGCCAGAUCCUCGCCUUCAACGAGAUUGUUGAGAAGAACCCCACCACAAUCAAGAACUUUGGUAUCUGGCUGUGUUACCAAAGCAGGACUGGAUACCACAACAUGUACAAGGAGUACCGUGACACCACCCUCAAUGGCGCAGUGGAGCAGAUGUACACGGAGAUGGCUUCCCGCCACCGUGUCAGAUCCCCCUGCAUCCAGAUCAUCAAGACAGCCACUGUCCACUUCAACAUCUGCAAGCGUGAUAACACUAAGCAGUUUCACAAGUCGGACAUCAGGUUCCCGCUGGUCUACCAGAAGGUCAGGCCACUAACCAGGAAGCUGAAGACGACCUUCAAGGCAUCGAUGUGA
RNAcentral lists this ribosomal RNA (510 nucleotides) under Triticum aestivum (bread wheat). Its description in RNAcentral is "partial small subunit ribosomal RNA". Lineage: Eukaryota; Viridiplantae; Streptophyta; Magnoliopsida; Poales; Poaceae. The record is from RNAcentral.